GGGUUGUGAGGUUAAGCGACUAAGCGUACACGGUGGAUGCCCUGGCAGUCAGAGGCGAUGAAGGGCGUGCUAAUCUGCGAUAAGCGCCGGUAAGGUGAUAUGAACCGUUAUAACCGGCGAUACCCGAAUGGGGAAACCCAGUGUGAUUCGUCACACUAUCAUUAACUGAAUCCAUAGGUUAAUGAGGCGAACCGGGGGAACUGAAACAUCUAAGUACCCCGAGGAAAAGAAAUCAACCGAGAUUCCCCCAGUAGCGGCGAGCGAACGGGGAGGAGCCCAGAGCCUGAAUCAGCAUGUGUGUUAGUGGAAGCGUCUGGAAAGGCGCGCGAUACAGGGUGACAGCCCCGUACACAAAAGCGCAUGUGCUGUGAGCUCGAUGAGUAGGGCGGGACACGUGGUAUCCUGUCUGAAUAUGGGGGGACCAUCCUCCAAGGCUAAAUACUCCUGACUGACCGAUAGUGAACCAGUACCGUGAGGGAAAGGCGAAAAGAACCCCGGCGAGGGGAGUGAAAAAGAACCUGAAACCGUGUACGUACAAGCAGUGGGAGCACAGGUUUACCUGUGUGACUGCGUACCUUUUGUAUAAUGGGUCAGCGACUUAUAUUCUGUAGCAAGGUUAACCGAAUAGGGGAGC
RNAcentral lists this ribosomal RNA (634 nucleotides) under Salmonella enterica subsp. enterica serovar Berta. Its description in RNAcentral is "partial 23S ribosomal RNA". It matches the Rfam family "Bacterial large subunit ribosomal RNA", at positions 1 to 666 of the family's 2925-position model. The record is from RNAcentral. Lineage: Bacteria; Pseudomonadati; Pseudomonadota; Gammaproteobacteria; Enterobacterales; Enterobacteriaceae. RNAcentral also lists the same sequence under 3 other names.